GGCGCGCAUGGCGGCUGGCGCAUCGCCGCACCGCCGCUGACGCUGGAGAUCGACGUCGCGCGGCGGUGGUUCGAGACGAUCGCGUUCCGC
RNAcentral lists this transfer RNA (90 nucleotides) under Sphingomonas sp. RIT328. RNAcentral describes it as "tRNA-Val". Lineage: Bacteria; Pseudomonadati; Pseudomonadota; Alphaproteobacteria; Sphingomonadales; Sphingomonadaceae. The record is from RNAcentral.